RNAcentral lists this ribosomal RNA (1075 nucleotides) under Cytobacillus firmus. RNAcentral's name for it is "bacterial SSU rRNA". It matches the Rfam family "Bacterial small subunit ribosomal RNA", at positions 32 to 1107 of the family's 1533-position model. Lineage: Bacteria; Bacillati; Bacillota; Bacilli; Caryophanales; Bacillaceae. The record is from RNAcentral.
GCCGUUGGCGGCGUGCUAUACAUGCAAGUCGAGCGGAUUGAUGGGAGCUUGCUCCCUGAUAUCAGCGGCGGACGGGUGAGUAACACGUGGGCAACCUGCCUGUAAGACUGGGAUAACUCCGGGAAACCGGGGCUAAUACCGGAUAAUUCCUUCCUCCUCCUGGAGGAAGGCUGAAAGAUGGUUUCGGCUAUCACUUACAGAUGGGCCCGCGGCGCAUUAGCUAGUUGGUGAGGUAACGGCUCACCAAGGCCACGAUGCGUAGCCGACCUGAGAGGGUGAUCGGCCACACUGGGACUGAGACACGGCCCAGACUCCUACGGGAGGCAGCAGUAGGGAAUCUUCCGCAAUGGACGAAAGUCUGACGGAGCAACGCCGCGUGAGUGAAGAAGGUUUUCGGAUCGUAAAACUCUGUUGUUAGGGAAGAACAAGUGCGAGAGUAACUGCUCGCACCUUGACGGUACCUAACCAGAAAGCCACGGCUAACUACGUGCCAGCAGCCGCGGUAAUACGUAGGUGGCAAGCGUUGUCCGGAAUUAUUGGGCGUAAAGCGCGCGCAGGCGGUUCCUUAAGUCUGAUGUGAAAGCCCACGGCUCAACCGUGGAGGGUCAUUGGAAACUGGGGAACUUGAGUGCAGAAGAGAAGAGCGGAAUUCCACGUGUAGCGGUGAAAUGCGUAGAGAUGUGGAGGAACACCAGUGGCGAAGGCGGCUCUUUGGUCUGUAACUGACGCUGAGGCGCGAAAGCGUGGGGAGCAAACAGGAUUAGAUACCCUGGUAGUCCACGCCGUAAACGAUGAGUGCUAAGUGUUAGAGGGUUUCCGCCCUUUAGUGCUGCAGCUAACGCAUUAAGCACUCCGCCUGGGGAGUACGGCCGCAAGGCUGAAACUCAAAGGAAUUGACGGGGCCCGCACAAGCGGUGAGCAUGUGGUUUAAUUCGAAGCAACGCGAAGAACCUUACCAGUCUUGACAUCUCUGACAACCUAGAGAUAGGGCGUUCCCCUCGGGACAGAUGACAGUGUGCAUGAUGUCGUCAGCUCUGUCGUGAGAUGUGGUAGUCCCGCACGAGCGCAACCUUGA